This 343-nucleotide unclassified non-coding RNA is filed under the name Hevea brasiliensis (rubber tree). Lineage: Eukaryota; Viridiplantae; Streptophyta; Magnoliopsida; Malpighiales; Euphorbiaceae. The record is from RNAcentral.
GAAAAAAAAAAAAAAAAAAAAGACGAAGAAGAAGAAAAAGGAAAACCCUGAAAUUCUGCUCAUGGUUGGCUCACUAAAUUGGCACCAGUGGGUUUUAUCAAGUCUUUAGAGGCCCACAUCACAAACUGAGGAGCUGAAGUAUUUGGCAUUUUUGUCCAACUCUAGACAUAGUGGUAAUUAGUCAAGUAGGCAAUGCUUGGAUGAGCACUUCAUUUCAUUUUAAAAGUUCUUGUUUCAGGUUAUAUCUCUUUUUACCCUCCCAAUGGCAUUGUUUGAUUGCUAAUACCAGUUGCAACAUUUACUGCAUGAUUUCUCAUUUUUAAUUGCCGUUGAAGAAAAACAG